This 253-nucleotide ribosomal RNA is filed under the name uncultured bacterium. RNAcentral's name for it is "partial 16S ribosomal RNA". It matches the Rfam family "Bacterial small subunit ribosomal RNA", at positions 524 to 776 of the family's 1533-position model. The record is from RNAcentral.
UACGUAGGGUGCAAGCGUUGUCCGGAUUUAUUGGGCGUAAAGAGCGUGUAGGCGGCCAGGUAGGUCCGGUGUGAAAACUCGAGGCUUAACCUCGAGAUGUCAUCGGAAACCAUCUGGCUAGAGUCCGGAAGAGGAAAGUGGAAUUCCUGGUGUAGCGGUGAAAUGCGCAGAUAUCAGGAAGAACACCAAUGGCGAAAGCAGCUUUCUGGGACGGUACUGACGCUGAGACGCGAAAGCGUGGGGAGCGAACAGG